CCUACGGGAGGCAGCAGUGGGGGAUAUUGCACAAUGGGGGAAACCCUGAUGCAGCGACGCCGCGUGGGUGAAGAAGUAUUUCGGUAUGUAAAGCCCUAUCAGCAGGGAAGAAAGAAGACGGUACCUGACUAAGAAGCCCCGGCUAACUACGUGCCAGCAGCCGCGGUAAUACGUAGGGGGCGAGCGUUAUCCGGAUUCACUGGGUGUAAAGGGAGCGUAGACGGCCGUGCAAGCCAGGAGUGAAAGCCCGGGGCCCAACCCCGGGACUGCUCUUGGAACUGUGCGGCUGGAGUGCGGGAGGGGCAGGCGGAAGUCCUGGUGUAGCGGUGAAAUGCGUAGAUAUCAGGAGGAACACCGGCGGCGAAGGCGGCCUGCUGGACCGCGACUGACGUUGAGGCUCGAAAGCGUGGGGAGCGAACAGGAUUAGAUACCCUUGUAGUC
This 441-nucleotide ribosomal RNA is filed under the name uncultured bacterium. RNAcentral's name for it is "partial 16S ribosomal RNA". It matches the Rfam family "Bacterial small subunit ribosomal RNA", at positions 338 to 795 of the family's 1533-position model. The record is from RNAcentral.